RNAcentral lists this ribosomal RNA (582 nucleotides) under Theileria sp. RNAcentral's name for it is "SSU rRNA". It matches the Rfam family "Eukaryotic small subunit ribosomal RNA", at positions 525 to 1140 of the family's 1831-position model. Lineage: Eukaryota; Apicomplexa; Aconoidasida; Piroplasmida; Theileriidae. The record is from RNAcentral.
UUAAACCUCUUCCAGAGUAUCAAUUGGAGGGCAAGUCUGGUGCCAGCAGCCGCGGUAAUUCCAGCUCCAAUAGCGUAUAUUAAAAUUGUUGCAGUUAAAAAGCUCGUAGUUGAAUUUCUGCUGCAUUGCAUCUUCUUUUUGAUGAGUUGAUGUAUUGUGGCUUAUUUCGGAUGAUACUUGUAUUAUCCGGAUGAUUACUUUGAGAAAAUUAAAGUGCUCAAAGCACGCUUUUGCCUUGAAUAGUUUAUCAUGGAAUAAUAAAGUAUGACUUUGGAUCUAUUUUGUUGGUUUUAGGUACCAAAGUAAUGGUUAAUAGGAACAGUUGGGGGCAUUCGUAUUUAACUGUCAAAUGUGAAAUUCUUAAAUUUGUUAAAGACGAACUACUGCGAAAGCAUUUGCCAAGGAUGUUUUCAUUAAUCAAGAACGAAAGUUAGGGGAUCGAAGACGAUCAAAUACCGUCGUACUCCUAACCAUAAACUAUGCCGACUACAGAUUGGAGGUCGUCAGUUUUUACGACUCCUUCCUCACCUUGAGAGAAAUCAAAGUCUUUGGGUUCUGGGGGGAGUAUGGACGCUAGGCUGA